UCUUCGCCCUGGCUCUUCUUUGCCUUUGUUCGUCUUCAUCGUAGCUUCUGCCACCGCAGUUCCUCUUGUCACCGCCAUAUCUCUUCCUCAACGAAGGGCAGCAAUACUCUAUUUUCGCUUCUCAUAAACCCAUAGUGCUAUCGCAAAGUUUUUUAUGCUAAGGAAGUGUCAACUUGGUAGGAAGUGUCAACUUUCUCUUGCCAGAUUUCUUCACAUAAUUGAGGCUCUUGCAGAUGAGGGCUAUAAAAGAAGAACUUGGUGAUAAUGAGGAUGAUGAGGAUGACCUGGUUGCCCUUGAAAGGAAGAUGCAGAAGGCAGGAAUGCCACCAAAUGUAUGGAAACAUGCACACAUAUAGUUGAGGAGGCUUAAAAAAAUGCAGCCUCAACAACCUGGGUAUAACAGUUCGCGGAUUUACCUUGAUCUUCUUGCCGAUCUCCCCUGGCAGAAGGCCAACGAAGAGAUUGAAAUGGACUUAAGAGCUGCACAAAAGCGACUGGACAGUGAUCACUAUGGUUUAGUGAAGGUCAAGAGAGAAUUAUUG
Trifolium pratense (red clover) is the source of this 542-nucleotide long non-coding RNA. RefSeq lists it as uncharacterized. Lineage: Eukaryota; Viridiplantae; Streptophyta; Magnoliopsida; Fabales; Fabaceae. The record is from RefSeq and is a predicted model, not a curated record. The transcript has 4 exons.